Salvia miltiorrhiza (redroot sage) is the source of this 750-nucleotide long non-coding RNA. RefSeq lists it as uncharacterized. The transcript has 3 exons. NCBI's taxonomy places the organism in Eukaryota, Viridiplantae, Streptophyta, Magnoliopsida, Lamiales, Lamiaceae. The record is from RefSeq and is a predicted model, not a curated record.
UCUUUCUUCUGCUCCACCUAACUUUAUACCUUUCUGACUAAGCACUGCCCCUACUUUAGUUAAUAAAUUCCAAAGUAUUCUGCCAUCCUUUAACUUUAUACCUUUCUGACUAAGCACUGCCCCUACUUUAGUUAAUAAAUUCCAAAGUAUUCUGCCAUCCUUCAUCUUCAAAGUCUUAGCUUUCUCAUUAAGCUAAUCCCUACUUUCUCUCCCUAACAUCACUUUCCCUAUCCCCAUUCACAGUUGUUCCAAAAACAAGGAAAGAGAUUCCAAGUCCAGUUCCAAAAUUUCAAAUCAAGAAGGUAGGUAAUUAAAUGUCUUACUCUUCAUUAAUCUUCCAGUUCCAAUUCCAAAAUUUCAUUCUUACUUUUUGAUCAACAAAUUGCAGAAUCGAACUAUUGCCAACACCACCCCUCAUAUCGAGGUCCGGGCGACAGAAAGUGAAGCAGAAGAAGAAACGACUCCACGCCAGCUUUAAGAACAAUUGAGGUUGAGCAGGCGAUGGAAUGGAUCGGUGUUGAGCGGAUUUCCCUUUUGAUGUUUAUGUAAUGAAACCUUGAGUAUGCAUCUCCAUAUGCAUAACUCACACGUUUUUCCGCUGCAAACACUCUGAAUUUGUUAUCGUAUUGUGGAACUUAUUACUCCUUCAUUUUGUUUAACUUUCAUUUGGGGUUUAGUCAUUAUGGCUGGCUCAUUUGUUAAUUACCCAAGUGGUUAUAUAUAUAUAUAUAUAUACCACUAGUUUGUUGU